Molecule: ribosomal RNA, 444 nt
Filed under: uncultured bacterium
Lineage: Bacteria
Description: bacterial SSU rRNA
Rfam family: Bacterial small subunit ribosomal RNA
Source: RNAcentral
AACGCGAAGAACCUUACCAGGUCUUGACAUCCCUCUGACCGUCCUAGAGAUAGGGCUUUCCUUCGGGACAGAGGAGACAGGUGGUGCAUGGUUGUCGUCAGCUCGUGUCGUGAGAUGUUGGGUUAAGUCCCGCAACGAGCGCAACCCUUGAACUUAGUUGCCAGCACGUUAUGGUGGGCACUCUAGGUUGACUGCCGGUGACAAACCGGAGGAAGGCGGGGAUGACGUCAAAUCAUCAUGCCCCUUAUGACCUGGGCUACACACGUACUACAAUGGCCGGUACAACGGGUAGCGAAACCGCGAGGUGGAGCCAAUCCUAUCAAAGCCGGUCUCAGUUCGGAUUGCAGGCUGCAACUCGCCUGCAUGAAGUCGGAAUUGCUAGUAAUCGCGGAUCAGCAUGCCGCGGUGAAUACGUUCCCGGGCCUUGUACACACCGCACUACUA